GCCUGAGUGGCUCAGUCGGUUGAGCAUCCGACUUCCACUCGGGUCAUAAUCUUGCGGUUUGUGAGUUCGAGCCCCGUGCCAGGCU
Molecule: transfer RNA, 85 nt
Filed under: Felis catus (domestic cat)
Lineage: Eukaryota; Metazoa; Chordata; Mammalia; Carnivora; Felidae
Also listed under: 1 other name
Rfam family: tRNA
About the family: Transfer RNA (tRNA) molecules are approximately 80 nucleotides in length. Their secondary structure includes four short double-helical elements and three loops (D, anti-codon, and T loops).
Source: Rfam by way of RNAcentral